Molecule: ribosomal RNA, 497 nt
Filed under: uncultured bacterium
Lineage: Bacteria
Description: partial 16S ribosomal RNA
Rfam family: Bacterial small subunit ribosomal RNA
Source: RNAcentral
GACGAACGCUGGCGGCGUGCCUAAUACAUGCAAGUUGAGCGCUGAAGGUUGGUCCUUGUACCAACUGGAUUAGCAGCGAACGGGUGAGUAACGCGUGGGUAAUCUGCCUUUGAGCGGGGGACAACAUUUGGAAACGAAUGCUAAUACCGCAUAAAAACUUUAACCACAAGUUUUAAGUUUGAAAGAUGCAAUUGCCUCACUCAAAGAUGAUCCCGCGUUUGAUUAGCUAGUUGGUGAGGUAAAGGCUCACCAAGGCGAUGAUACAUAGCCGAACUGAGAGGGUGAUCGGCCACAUUGGGACUGAGACACGGCCCAAACGCCUACGGGAGGCAGCAGUAGGGAAACUUCGGCAAUGGACGAAAGGCUGACCGAGCAACGCCGCGUGAGUGAAGAAGGGUUUCGGAUCGUAAAACUCUGUUGGUAGAGAAGAACGUUGGUGGGAGUGGAAAGCUCAUCAAGUGACGGUAACUACCCAGAAAGGGACGGCUAACUACGUG